RNAcentral lists this ribosomal RNA (340 nucleotides) under unidentified archaeon. RNAcentral's name for it is "partial 16S ribosomal RNA". The record is from RNAcentral.
UUCACAGUACGAACUGGCGACGGCCAUGCACCUCCUCUCAGCGAUUCAGGUAAGGUCUUUAGCCUGGCCUACAUAUUGCUGUCGCCCCCGGUGAGUUUUCCGGCGUUGAGUCCAAUUAAACCGCAGGCUCCACCCGUUGUUGUGCUCCCCCGCCAAUUCCUUUAAGUUUCAGCCUUGCGGCCGUACUUCCCAGGUGGCUCGCUUCACGGCUUCCCUGCGGCACCAAACACGGUCGCACCGUGCCUGACACCUAGCGAGCAUAGUUUACAGCUGGGACUACCCGGGUAUCUAAUCCGGUUCGUGCCCCCAGCUUUCGUCCCUCACCGUCGAACCCGUUCUG